AACAAAAUGAGUUGGAUCAACCC
This 23-nucleotide small nuclear RNA is filed under the name Arabidopsis thaliana (thale cress). RNAcentral describes it as "snRNA_13229". Lineage: Eukaryota; Viridiplantae; Streptophyta; Magnoliopsida; Brassicales; Brassicaceae. The record is from RNAcentral.